GGGUGUGUGUGUGUGUGGGGUGUGUGUGUGUGUGUGUGUGUGGAGUGUGUGUGUGUGGGGAGUGUGUGUGUGAUAGUCGAUGGAAUUGCCUCACACACUGACGGUGGAUCAAGGUUGUAAAGAACGACACAAUAAAUCAUGGCAGUGAGAUAUGAAGCUUUCUGAGUCCAAAAUGACACCCUGAUGGUAGUGAACCAUGUAUGGAAUAGGGUUCACUAUCUCCUAAUGCCAGGACCAUUGCAGAGAACAGAUAGCAGGACUCUUCUGCGGUUCUUCUGGCUUGAUCAAGAGAGAGAGAUGAGGGCUUAAUAUAGCGGUAAUUGAAAGCUUGAACCUGUGUGUGUAUGUGUGUGAGAGAGUGUGUAUGUGACUGUUUGUGGACAUCUAUGCCCUGAGUUAAUCCGUUUUUUUUUCAUUGGAUCAACAAGUCACAUUCUGUCAGCACAGAGGAAUGAAACUAAGUGACAUCAUAUCCUCCUUGUCUCAGUCCUCUUAGCCACAGUGUGAUGAGAUGCCUUCCCACCAGCCAGCUAGUGUAAGACAGAGUCAGUGGUAAUGUGGAGACUCUACUAAGGUGAUUUUGAGAGUCUGGCUGCAAUGUUAUUGCUUCAGAAGGGUUUCUGUAAAUUAUAGCCUCCUGUCAGUCAGCCAGCCAGAUCCCCCAGCAUGCCUAUGUAUGUCUUUUUCUGUUCUAUGAAAACCUAUGAACACACAGAGCCUGCAGCCCAAAAACCCUGUGCAGCAGAGCUCUAGAUGAAGCGUAAAGGGAGGAGGGAGUAGAGAUGGAGGAGGGGGAGGUGCAGGGUAAUAAUGACCAUGACUCAGCACUUUACACCUCCACUUAAAGACUUCACCCACCACCAACUGUUGUUAAGAGUUGUCUGUGUUGUUAAGAGUUGUCUGUGAUAUUAAGAGCUGUCUGUGUUGUUAAGAGUUGUCUGUGUUUUAGCAGCUGUCUGUGUUGUUAAGAGCUGUCUGUGUUGUCAGGAGCUGUCUGUGUUUUCAGGAGCUGUCUGUGUUUUAGCAGCUGUCUGUGUUGUUAACUAGUGAAUCAUGUGGUGUUUAUGGAUAUAGUGGAGGGGUCAGAUUGUUCUGUCUCUCUUCCAGGGCACUGCAGCCCUAUCAUGGUCCCAGCUGUGGAAUACCUGCUGCCUGCGCCACUAUAUAUCCAACCAGCAAUCAAAUAGACAGCAAAUAGUUAACGAACCAGCCAAUCAAAUAGCCAGGAAACAGUCAUUUAACCAGCCAGUCAGUCAAAUAGCCAGACAAACAAAUGGACCAACACUCAGCCAGCCAACCAGGGAACAGCUGGGACCAGUUAACCAGUCAACCAGCCAGUCAACCAGCCAGUCAACCAGCCAGUCAACCAGCCACUGAACAAAGAAAGGUAGUGGAUGUGUGAUUCACAGCCCCAGAUAUAGAAUAUCACCUCCUUCUCCUCCCUGCAGUGGAUUUCCUGGAAGAGGGCUUCUGAGAUGGCUUUGGGGAGAAGUGGAGGAUCUGGUUCUUAAAAGCUCUUUUUUCUCUCUCAAUUGCUCUUUUUCUCCUUUCUUUCUUUCUUUCUUCAGCUCUCUAUUUUACUCUCUCUGUUCACAGCUGAAUACAUGAAUGUACAGAAUUGUAUAUGAUGAAAAUAAAUAAAAAUAAAAAUCUGUAUGUGGAAAUGUGACGUAUUCCCACAGACAGUCUGUAAUUAACCAAUUUGAGUCAAUGCUUUUAACAAGCAUGAGGUCAACUUCCUGCUUUGAAGUCAAAGGUGAACCAGAUGAGUUAACCACCUCCUGUGCCACUCCAAAUUAGAUUUUUAUGAAGGAUUUUGGCAUGUGUAGUUUUUUGAGCAUGGAAUUACUCACAGUUGACAUUCAAUAAGUGCAGAGGAUUUUGUAGUAUUUUUAGUUGCAUUGCUGACUUUAAAGUGGGUUUAGUAUGUAAAGGGGAAACUGCACACUGUACCCUCAACCUACUUUAAAACACAAUGUGUGUAGUGAUAUGUCUCUGUGGCCUUUCUUGUCUGCAAAACACCCCAGGAGAGAAAAAGAGGAAGAGUAGAGGAUGACAAGAUGGAGGACAAAGAGAGGGAGGAAAUUAGUAAGGAAUAGAGUAUAAAAGGGGAAGGGGGAGGAGAGUAAUGGAGGUAGG
Long non-coding RNA from Esox lucius (northern pike), 2139 nucleotides. NCBI's taxonomy places the organism in Eukaryota, Metazoa, Chordata, Actinopteri, Esociformes, Esocidae. The record is from Ensembl.